RNAcentral lists this ribosomal RNA (250 nucleotides) under uncultured bacterium. Its description in RNAcentral is "partial 16S ribosomal RNA". It matches the Rfam family "Bacterial small subunit ribosomal RNA", at positions 812 to 1058 of the family's 1533-position model. The record is from RNAcentral.
GGUACUAGGUGUAGGAGGUAUCGACCCCUUCUGUGCCGGAGUUAACGCAAUAAGUACCCCGCCUGGGGAGUACGGCCGCAAGGUUGAAACUCAAAGGAAUUGACGGGGGCCCGCACAAGCGGUGGAGUAUGUGGUUUAAUUCGACGCAACGCGAAGAACCUUACCAAGCCUUGACAUUGAUCGCAAGGAGUAGAGAUACUCUGUUCUUCUUCGGAAGACGAGAAAACAGGUGGUGCAUGGCUGUCGUCAG